CCCCACUUUCAUUAAUAUAUGCAUGCAUCUCCAUCCAUACAUGUCUCUUUCUUUUUUUUUUUUUUUUUGUUUUUGUUUUUCUCUGGACUUACUUUUUAAAGAUGUCUAAUGAUCACGACGAUGAUUCUCACUAUAUCACUGUCACUACUGCUUGGUUGCUACCAGCGCAACCUAACUCUUCAAUCUUGGACUUUUCUAAAUUAAUCAUGC
Molecule: long non-coding RNA, 210 nt
Filed under: Ricinus communis (castor bean)
Lineage: Eukaryota; Viridiplantae; Streptophyta; Magnoliopsida; Malpighiales; Euphorbiaceae
Description: long non-coding RNA (RCOM_LNC001982)
Source: RNAcentral